AGUGAACGCUGGCGGUAGGCCUAACACAUGCAAGUCGAACGGCAGCACAGAGGAGCUUGCUCCUUGGGUGGCGAGUGGCGGACGGGUGAGGAAUACAUCGGAAUCUACUCUGUCGUGGGGGAUAACGUAGGGAAACUUACGCUAAUACCGCAUACGACCUACGGGUGAAAGCAGGGGAUCUUCGGACCCUGCGCGAUUGAAUGAGCCGAUGUCGGAUUAGCUAGUUGGCGGGGUAAAGGCCCACCAAGGCGACGAUCCGUAGCUGGUCUGAGAGGAUGAUCAGCCAAACUGGAACUGAGACACGGUCCAGACUCCUACGGGAGGCAGCAGUGGGGAAUAUGGGACAAUGGGCGCAAGCCUGAUCCAGCCAUACCGCGUGGGUGAAGAAGGCCUUCGGGUUGUAAAGCCCUUUUGUUGGGAAAGAAAUCCAUCUGGUUAAUACCCGGGUGGGAUGACGGUACCCAAAGAAUAAGCACCGGCUAACUUCGUGCCAGCCGCCGCAGUAA
Molecule: ribosomal RNA, 506 nt
Filed under: uncultured bacterium
Lineage: Bacteria
Description: partial 16S ribosomal RNA
Rfam family: Bacterial small subunit ribosomal RNA
Source: RNAcentral